RNAcentral lists this ribosomal RNA (717 nucleotides) under uncultured fungus. RNAcentral's name for it is "SSU rRNA". It matches the Rfam family "Eukaryotic small subunit ribosomal RNA", at positions 341 to 1062 of the family's 1831-position model. The record is from RNAcentral. Lineage: Eukaryota; Fungi.
CUACCAUGGUGGUAACGGGUAACGGGGUGUUAGGGCACGACACCGGAGAGGGAGCCUGAGAAACGGCUACCACAUCCAAGGAUGGCAGCAGGCGCGCAAAUUACCCAAUCCCGACACGGGGAGGUAGUGACAAUAAAUAACAAUACGGGGUUCUUUAGGAUCUCGUAAUUGGAAUGAGUACAAUUUAAAUCUCUUAACGAGGAACAAUUGGAGGGCAAGUCUGGUGCCAGCAGCCGCGGUAAUUCCAGCUCCAAUAGCGUAUAUUAAAGUUGUUGCAGUUAAAAAGCUCGUAGUUGAAUUUCGGGGUUAGUAGGUUGGUCAUGCCUCUGGUAUGUACUGGUCUCACUGAUUCCUCCUUCCUUAUGAACCGUAAUGCCAUUAAUUUGGUGUUGCGGGGAAUUUGGACUGUUACUUUGAAAAAAUUAGAGUGUUUAAAGCAAGCUAACGCUUGAAUACAUUAGCAUGGAAUAAUGAAAUAGGACGUUCGAUCUUAUUUUGUUGGUUUCUAGGAUUGACGUAAUGAUUAAUAGGGAUAGUUGGGGGCAUUAGUAUUCAAUUGUCAGAGGUGAAAUUCUUGGAUUUAUUGAAGACUAACUACUGCGAAAGCAUUUGCCAAGGAUGUUUUCAUUAAUCAAGAACGAAAGUUAGGGGAUCGAAGACGAUCAGAUACCGUCGUAGUCUUAACCAUAAACUAUGCCGACUAGGGAUCGGAUGAUG